GACAGAGGGUGCGAACGUUGCUCGGAAUUACUGGGCGUAAAGCGCGUGUAGGCGGGUCGGCAAGUCAGAUGUGAAAGCCCUGGGCUCAACCUAGGAACUGCAUUGGAAACUGCCGGUCUUGCGUACUGGAGAGGGAAGCGGAAUUCCUGGUGUAGAGGUGAAAUUCGUAGAUAUCAGGAGGAACACCCGUGGCGAAGGCGGCUUCCUGGACAGUUACUGACGCUGAGACGCGAAAGCGCGGGGAGCAAACAGG
RNAcentral lists this unclassified non-coding RNA (253 nucleotides) under uncultured Sandaracinaceae bacterium. RNAcentral's name for it is "contains 16S-23S intergenic spacer region". It matches the Rfam family "Bacterial small subunit ribosomal RNA", at positions 524 to 776 of the family's 1533-position model. The record is from RNAcentral. Lineage: Bacteria; Pseudomonadati; Myxococcota; Polyangiales; Sandaracinaceae.